Gallus gallus (chicken) is the source of this 23917-nucleotide long non-coding RNA. RefSeq lists it as uncharacterized. The record is from RefSeq and is a predicted model, not a curated record. The transcript is spliced from 10 exons. NCBI's taxonomy places the organism in Eukaryota, Metazoa, Chordata, Aves, Galliformes, Phasianidae.
AUGCAGCAGCAGGGCAUGGGGAGGCAUUUGGCUAGUUGAGAGUGGAUGCUCGGAUUUUGGGUGUCUUAGACAGCUGGAGCUGCUUCACCCUGAUCCUGCUGCAGGAAAUGGCCUUGGAGCAAGUCCAGGUCAGACUGUUGUCCUCAGCCACCUAAAUCCCAUUAGUGGGGCUUAAGCUAGGAACAGUUUCAGUUCUAUGCCAGAUAAUAGUCACAGCAGUUGUUUUUUUUUCCUUUCUUUUUUUCUCCAUCCAUUAUUUAGAUUAGGUUUUGCAUAAAUAAAUACCACACUGAACAGCUUUUAUAGCUGUUUUGUUAUGAGGCUGAGGGGGGUAAGAUGCACCUUUCCAAAAAGAAAAGGAAAUAAAAAAGAAACAAUAUAUUGAGUGUUUUUGUUUUUAGCCAGUCUCCAGGCAACUCCUGGCUGAGGGCAAAGCUACAUUAAAUUUUGUAGAAGCAGACUGUUAUAUAUACACCCUAGGAGCUAUUUUUAAAACAUGUACAUCUACCAUACCUCACAUCUGACAGCGUUAUUUGAAUCUAGGCUAUUCAUUGGGAAAAAGCAGCUAAUUAAUUUAUCUCAUGAAUAUCAAAUAUGCAAUUAGUCACACUGCACUUGCUAUUCCAGCCACUAUCCACCUAUGCAGGCUCUUUACUGCCAACAAUGACUCUGGGAAAUGAGUACCAUUCAGUGCCUGACCUGCCGUAGAAAGACAGACACAAAUGAGUUUACCAUAUGCUGUUGAAUAUUGUGCUUAUAAUUCUUGUGUGUGUGCAUGCAUGUGUGUGUGUGUGCAGUCAGCUAAUGGGUUCUCUUCCAUCGUAACAAUGUGAGGAAAUUAAAGGAGUGUUCAGAAGAUAAAUAAUACUGUAGUCUCAAAGCCUUCAGAUUACUAUUUCUAUCCAAAGAUAAUUCUAAGGAAACACACCCCUGUGUAUUUCUCCAUGUGAACUGUUGGUAAGACAAAGAGGCAACAGCCUAAAAUUGCAGGCAGGAAGAUUAAAGUUAGAUGAUAGAUGAAAACCUUCAAAACAGUAAUAAUGGUUACACAUUGUUAAACAGAUAUUCAAGGGGAAACUGCAGUCUCUGCUGCUGGUGCUUGCUAUGGAGCAAUGUGAUGGGCGCUGAGGAGAGCAGUUCAGGCGUGGGUGGUCAUGUCCUGGAGAGUGAAGGCAAGGUAUACAAAUUCUCAGUCUUCUUUCCAACAUUAUGGCUACAUGGUCUUCAAAAACUUCACCACGUUUGGCAGCUGGAUUGCUCUUCUCAGUAGCAGACUUGAGGAUCAAAUAAGCUUGCAAGCUGAACUAGUGGAUGAAGUUGAAGCACAUUUAUGCAGUACUGUGAAGCAAACGUCAUUGCCGUUGCCCUUGAGAUAUUUAUGAUUAAGUACAAUUUCCCACGCUGGCAAAUCUAAUGCCUUUUUUAGUAACGCUAACUUCUGUUGUUCGAUGGCUAGCUCCUAAGGUAUAACCUUGGAGAAGCUUCUGGAUGUUGAAUGAUUUUAAAGAUCAGUAAAUGUUACUGUAAUUGUAGGAGAGUCUUGCAAGAUGGGGACCAGCUCAAUUCACUGUGCUGCUUUGGCAGCAUAGCAAUUACAAAUUGUUUCUCUCUGAAGCAUUGAAAGGCAUUGUACUUUUAAUCUGCACUGGAGCCUUUGGUCACAAAUCUUGCAAUUUGUGGUAGAAUCUAAACUAAUAAAGCAUUACAAAGAAGGCAGAGAAGUUCCAGAACUUUUUCAAACUCUUCAUCUUUGCUUGAGGGCACAGUUUACAGAGGUGAUAUGGGGUAACCAUGAGAAAUGGGCUGCAAUUCCUAUGCAUUUCCAUCAGCUCUGGAGUGCAAAUAUGGAAACUCCUCCAUCUGUGCCAACCUCUGAUAAGGAGGCUGUGGAACAGGGGUGAUAAGAGGCAGCUCCUGCUCCUGUGAAGCCUCACUAUCCACAUCUCAAGUAUGUGCCUCUGGGUAUUCCUUUCCUCUUCCAAGGCUCAUGCUGCUCUUACAGGCAGCAGCACUUGUGUGUUGUAUUGAAGGCUUGGCUUGUGUUGUUUUCCCAGCCAUCAGUGACUCCCAAAGUAGGCACCUUGAUUUCCUCUUGCUAGAUUGGGCAGGCAGGAUGUGACCGACUGCAUUGUCUCACAUGUCUGAACAGCACUGCUGUUCAAGGUGAGGGUUAUGUACAUUGCAGAGUUUGGGUCUCUGUUGUGAGCCCUGGCCUCUGUUCUGAAUCCUCUCUGGGAACAGAAGAGCACGAUCACAAUGUGUUUUGGGUUCAUACCUCAGGGACCUAGCAGUCUCAACAGUAUAAUUCAGGGAUUUUAACAGCAACUUUUUCAGCUUUAACAACUGCUCUGAAAGUCAAAUCUAAUCUCUUAAAGUGCUAAAUGUAAACAAAUGCCAGCCUGCAUAAAAAUGUGUUGUUGUUUGUUUGUUUUUUUUUUUAACUAAACAUAAAGGAAAUGCUUUAUAAAAAACAAUUUUCUUUAAACCCUUAAGGGAUACUAAUUACUUUUAAUUUCAAUGUGUGAUGGUCCUUAGCUAAGGGAGGUAUGCUGCACGGACCGUAAAGCAUUUUUAUAUCAUAUAGCAUUUAACAGAGCAUGUCUGAAGUUAGCUGAGCGGCCUCCCCGGUUCUCUGAGCUCUAUUAUCCUUCACCGUGAUUAAACAUGCAGUGCCUCACUGCCUGAUCUUGAAGGGCAUUUAGGAGAGUUAACUGAACUUUGCUUCCCUACCUGCCUGAGUCAUUACGUUUCCCUCUGUGCUUGCUAUAUCAACUUUGCAGCUGAGCAUCACUCUGCCUAGGGGAGGUCAGAAGGUACUUAUGGCCAUGCAGAUGCAGUCUGUGUCUUUUUUGCUGUUCCCAGUGCAGGAAGAUCAGCUCCAGUGAAAGCUGUCGUGACCAUGGUUGUGAGUAGCCAGGAGUCGUUGCUCUGGAGGUUACUUUCCAAGUCAUUCAUGAGGCUGAUGUAAAUUACUCCCCCCUCUUCAGAAGAAGCCUCACAUUCUCUCUAGAAAGAUGUGAUGAUGGCAGUUUCCCAACUUCCUCUUAUUUCCUCCACAAAUCAGCAACUGUAGAGCAAAGCUUGGGAAUUUGCUGGCUCUGCUUGGAUUUGAAUCUCAUAGAAUUCGAGGCCAACCCAUACUUCCAUUUCUUCUAGGAAGACAGCAUUUUUGCAGUGUUUUCAUGUUGAUGGUGUUCCUGCUCCCUUCUCAUCACAGUUCUAUAUGAAAUGGAGUAGUUAGAUAUCCACAGUUAGGGAGACGGAUGAACAUGUGUAUUUGACCAUAACAUUAAAUUAACAAUACAACCAUAUUCUGUCAGCAUUAGAGCAGCAGCUCACCACAUCUGCAUUCCUAGAAAGCUGCUACUGCCACUCUUGAACGCUCAAGCAUCAUAUCCUUUAAACCUUCAGUCUGUUGCUUAGGUAGCAGCCUGUUCUCCUUUUCUGUGAGGAAAUCUCUUAAGAUAUUGUAGAUAUUACCAAAAAUAAAUAACCACGUUCAUAAACUGUUUACUGUGCACCUUUAUGAGUAUUGUGCAUGCUUCUGUAAGUGCAUUCACUUAAAGGAACCUCUGGAAAUAAGCACAGGCUUUAGUAGUGAAACUUAGGCAUAGAAUCUGGAAAACGUUAGGUGAUGGUUUCUCAUUCAUGCCUCUAAAGGUGGUCUGGACAUCUUCCCAUUUUCAGACAUCCCUGCUUUUGGUGAAGCGUCUGUAGCAUCUAUUGGUGAAGCAACUCUGUGAAGCACCUGAUUGUGCUGAAGGGAUGGGCCUCAUAUGGUCUGGUUCAUUCAGACUGAUUGUUUUGAAACUUCUGAUGCUAAUCCUGUUUCAGAGCAGAAAUGAGCACACAGGAAUAUGUAUCCAAAUAUUGCAAUUUUAUGUAGGGGAAAUGUGUUGAUGCCUUUUUACAGGUAGAUAAAGAGCAUAAGGUAAUUUUGCACUGACUUUAAACUGACUCAGGUUCUUAGUGCCAUUGAAAUGUGAUUCCAUCCUGAAAACAUAGCUUCUUAUUUUUCCAGCCAGCCUGAUUUAAGUGACUUAAAUGUCUUUUGCCUUCUCCUAUAGCAGGACCAAUUAGACCUACACGUGUGAUUGCGCUCAUGGAAGUACAUAAGCAGUACUGAUAACACCAGGAAAAAUGUCUGAUAAAGGAUAAGCAGCUACUGUUAUGGCUAAGAAUAUGAAUGUUGUUUUGCCUCACAGUGCCUAUGGUUAAAUGAUUGCUAUUUAAAGACAAGGAAAGAUUUAUAUUUCAUCAGCGGAAUAAAUAAAAAUGCCCCCUCUGAAACAUGUAGGAAAAUGGAACCUUCACUUCUCAGUGACCUCCAACCUUGCUCAUAAGCUCAGCACAGGUUAUUAUGUUAAAAUCUGCAGAGACCCAGAAUAUCUUUGUCACAGUAAUGGCUUCCAGUUGCUCUUCAGCCUAAAUAGGAUCUGAAGCAGUGACCAGCAGAUGAAAGUCUCUCUCUGCCAUUUUCAACCCCGUAACCCACCUGGCCAAUUUCAGCAUUUAUUUUUCAGAAAUUAAUUUUUUUUUUUUAAAAGCAAUUGUUUUUGCAAACAGCCCUUUGAAUUCUGUCCCAGUGGCAUUUUAGAGCAUUACUGCAAAUUAUUCAAUUUAUAUGCAUAGUCAAGCCUACAUCAUUAUUCCCACAUUCUACUAAGGCAGGAAGAGGAAAAAAAAUACUCAGAAAAGAAAGACCAAAAAAAACCUCAAGCAAAGACAAAAUUAGACUGCUCUUCUAGAAAAAACAUUUUUCACCGUGCUCAAAAUAAACCUAAAACCCCUCCGUCAAUGUGAUCUUUUCUGGAAAGUCAUUGUAAGCAAGGAUUCAAGUGACUGCAGUAAAACUCAAGAGAUGCACUGUAUUAUGAACGCUAAUUAAUGCGAGUAUUAAUGUUUUUGGCUUUAGAUGAGAUGAUCCAGCAUUCUGAAAAAUUAAGAAAAACAAUUACAGAGACUUACACACAUACCUGAACAUGUUCCAACUUAGCAGCUAAUUAUUCACAGAAUAAUUGGCUGCUCAUUCACAUCCUAUGAGUUUCAGAGCCUUUUAACUAGGUAGGUAUUGCUUUCUUUUAUGCAUUGUUUUGUGGUUCAUGCUUCUGAUGGGAAAGAUGAAGUAAGGCCAGUGCGGUUAGCCUCAGGAAAGACACAAGGCAUGGGACCGUUCCUCCGGCAACCGUAAACUAUUUGAGGGGUUCACUGUUCUUCCCAUGUUCUGUGUCUGAUCCUCUGGAAACAUCCAGGUGUGAAACUGCAUCUUACAGCCGCGACUCCUCUUUCUCUUCAUUUUAAUUUGAAUGUAAAAGGAACCCAGGCGCAGCCGGUGGACCACCUUGUUGCUGUCGGGAGUGCUGAGAUAAUUCAAAUCAGAAACGUGCUACUCAUGAAAGCAACAGGAACGUCUGUGGUUGUGGAGCUGAGAGUCAUAAGUCAUUGUGAUGCACACUCCAAGAGUUGGUCAGAUUUACUGGUCAACAAACUUGAAAGUAUUACUGGUGGCUUUCUCAAAUGCAGUUAGAGAAAUGCUAGAGCACUGGAGAAAAUCCAUUCCAAAUUGCCUGCAGGGACAAAAGCCCUUCACUUCAGCUCAGAGAAGGGGGAAGUUUGAUGCUUUUGGCUUGAAGUGUUUGAGCUGGCUGAGACGAGUGAUAAGACAUAAAACAGGAGGAGUCUGAGGGGAGUAAGACCUGCAGCCGUGCCCACAGAAGAGCUGUUCCAGCAGCGUGCUCUGCAUCUCCUUCCUCUUUGUGAAGCAUGGAGAAGCACAGGUUUCUUAAAAGGACUUUGGAGAUAGAGAAGCUGCUGCUGGCUUGCAUCUCAGCAGAAAGGCUUGAGCCAUUUUGGUUCGUUCCUGCAAGUUUUGCCUGUGGUCUGCAGAAGACAUGAGGAAGGUGUGUAGCUAGCUGCCUGAUGUUUACCUGGAGUAAAAGGGCAUCAGCUGCAAAGUGCUUUUUCUUCACUAUGCCCUGCUUUGAGAAAUUUGAGAAAGCUCUUUGCUGGGAGGCAGUUUUGAGUUACUUUUUGCUGGCUUUUCUGAUUUAGUUUACUUAGAGAAACUAGCCAGUGAUUACAAGUUGGUAAGGUCUCACACGAGGUCUGGACCAGCUGCUCCACAGCCAGAUAAGCUGCUGGCUGAUAAUGGCUCUUGGCUGCUGCUGACCUGGGCUGGGUUUGGGCCGUAGCUUUGUUCUGUAAUGAGCGAUCCCACAAGCCAUCCAGUCUCCAAAACUAGGCUCUUUAAAUUUUCAAGUGCGCUUCUAAGACCUAGCUCACAUUGUUUAUGGAGCUAAUUGCCCUCAAGUUCACCUUGGGCCUAAUUGGCUUACUGGCUUAAUUAACAAAAUGCUUAUUAAUGUCUAGUGGUAAUUAAUUUUCAAGGGAUUAUUUUCUAUUAAGAUCAUGAGUACAUUAUUAAUGUUGUGCAACUGUGAUUCUGGAAAGCCAGCGGGUGUGGGGUGUGGAGUUUUCUUUUAUGUACAUAGCAAAAUUUAUUUCUUUGGUCAUGUCGUGCUGAUUUGCCCUGUAGUUAUGUUAAUUAGCAUCUGUAUAAAACCAAGAACUGUAUACUGAGAUUAGGGUCGCUUUGGAAACAAUGGCAUGAUAGCUUUUACUGGGCUUGCAUAAAUCAUAAUGGGCUGAAGGAGCAAAUAAAAGGUGUUUGUCUGAUAACAUGGUAUCUUACUAAUAAAAGAUAUCUUUUGGAAUGGCAAUGAGCUUACAUUUUACAAAGUCAAGUGAAUUGACUUGGUAUUUUAAUAUGUGUACAUGCAUGAAAAUUGGAAUAUGGACAAUAGAUCCCAGACCUAGCUGUAAUCCACUAGCUCAUUUCAUAAUGCCACAGCUCUUUCAUAUUUCACUUGCGUGUCUUAUUCCCAUGCAGAAAAUCUGGGAGUACUGGGAAAGGCCAAGCACCCCUCUAGCCCCGUGUCAGUAGUAAGUGCUUAGAGGAACGAUAUAAACACAGGGUAAGUUACAAAGACAUAACCUCCUCGGACACAAAUUCUCUGCUUUCAGCCACCUAUGGCUUUCAGGACUUUCUGAAGAAAGACAGAAUGUGAUAACCGGCAGUCAUUGACAGGUUCUUCUUUCUGUGAGUUUUAUCUGUUUUGAACACAUUGAUACUUUGUGUAGCUGCACAUCCCGUGGCAGUGAGCUCCCCAGCGUGUGCACGGCUUGAAAAAUCCUGCCUCUCCUUUCUUCUAAAACAUUUAUGUGCUAUUUCUUUUUAAUGCUCUCUACUUCUUUUGUUCCAAGAAACUGUGACUCGUUCAUCUCCAAGCAGUUUGGGAUUGUAAAGGGAUUUCUGCUAGCAGCACACCGGCUUCUCUUUCACACUUGAAGAAUCCCAGUUACUCAGACCUCACACUUACCUCACCACAUCCUCGGUGCUUCAAGUUUGAAAAUAAAAGUUUUACUAGGAUGUAUGAGAAAGGUGUGUAAAAUCAGAGGGAGGCAGAUGCAAGUUUUGGUUUAGAGACUCCCUGAGCAGCACAUUGCCGGGUGAGAUGAAGUAUGCUGGUCCUCCUCUUGGCCUGGUUUUCACAUUAUCCACUAUUUAUCAUUCCCAGAGGCAGGGUCCUCGGUUGGAAGGGUCUUUGCUUCCAGUGUGCCACUUUCAUGUUUUGCUGUGUUUCUUGACCUUCUACCGGUUCUACAGAUUCUCUCUCACGCUUCCUUUUCUUGAUAUAUUUGGAAAUGUUGCUAUCAUAUUCUUUAAUACUCUCUUCCCCCAACCUUAUUAUCACUGUAUACGCCUUUCUUCAGUUUUCUUCUUUGUACAAGAAACAAGCUUUCACGUUUUCAGAUAUAAUGUUUUACUUCUGCUGUCUUCCUUACUUUGCAUUUUACUGUGACAGCUCUUCUCUGGGGGAGGUGGGAGGGAGUUGCUUUGUUGGUGGGUUGUUUGGUUUUUUUUUUUGUUAAGUGGUGUACAUUUUGGCAUUUGUUAGUGUGGGUCAGUGCCAAAAGACUGAAAAAUCUUUUUGACCCUCAGUAAAGAACAAAUUCUUCACCUCUGCUUUGCAAGAGUGAAACAAAACAAAACCAGUAUGUUUUGUUUUCUUGUUCGCUGUUUGUGUGGCAUUUUGGCAGCUGAGUCAGCUGUAUCUGGAAUUGUAUCUCGAAGCUUGAGAGAUUUGGAAAUAGAAAUGAGAAGACAGGAGUUCACACCUCCUGAGAUCCACCACCACCAUUAAGUUCACGUAAGAUUCACUGAUCUCGCCUGAACAGCUGGUGAGAGCCCGAUGAGCUGCUCAGGCUCUGUGACGGCUGUCUGCCAGCGGGAGAGCAUCACCCUCAGCAUCUCCAGUAGCAAAUUCUGCCAGCACAUUAUGGGGGAUACUGGCAGUGGGCUGCAUCCCUACCGCAUAUCUAUCUCCAGCACUAUGGAGCUGUGGACACCUAUUUUGUUCCAUGUUUUGUUACUGAAAUACACCAUUAUAAUAACAAUAACAAUAGUAUCAGCAGUUUCGUGUCAGUGAUAAGAAGUGCCACCUGUGAGUUAACAUGAAAUAUGUUAAUCACCUUCCCACACCAGGCAAACAUUUGCAUUUAAUUUUCUUCUACAGUUUUAUAAUAGAAGCUUAAUUUUCCUCCCUCCCCCUGCUUUUACAGAGCAUACACUAUUAAAUAACCAAGAGCAAUCAUCCAAGUGCGAAUGCAAUAGAAAGCUCCGUUCACAUUUAUUAUGCAAACAUGAAAGGGAAGGUUUAAUAUAAACUCCAUUGCAAAAUAAGGCAAAUAUAUUCAGCUAGCAUGUAAUUGCAUUUACAUUUUAUAACUUAACUGGUAUUGUGAGAUGCAUACUAUGAAUGAGUCACUGACUUUUACGUACUGUCCCAUUAUUAUUAAUAACCUCUAUUUCUAUAAUGUCUUCCAUCCCGAUUGGUCUCAGCCAAUGAACAUGUUCCUAGUGUAUAUAUUGGGACAACUCUGCUGCUGUAAGGACACGACACUGCAGUUGCCUUGCUUUGCACAGUAACUCUUGGGGGCAAGAAGCAAACAGUAACGCUGUGUGGUUUAAACUGCAGGAGUACAUGUGGCAAUGCAUUAUCAUUUGGCCUGGUAUCUUGGUGAAGUGCUGCUUCACACAAUAUCCCUAUUAAUUACCAAGCAAUCCAUGCCUUUUACCUGGGUGGGAGAUGUUGCACUAACACAUGAGCACAGCAGACAGUCAGAGCAGUGAGUUUGUUGCAGUGGGUGCCCACGGGAACGGAGCCCUAGGAUAUAGGUUGCUUUGGGAGAAGGCUGCCUCAUCCCUGUCGCCUGGUCCAGGAGUGGGGCAGGUCUGUUUUCCCAAGCCAUGUACACAGGCAGCUGAUGCCUCAUCAUUGCUCAGAUGGGUUCUGGUGGUUGGGGCAGGACCAGCCUUGCUGAUCUCAAGGUAAGCCCUGUCCCUUGGUUCCUCUCACAGCCUCAUCUCUCCCAUGUGGUUCCUGCUUGCAGGUGGGUUUUGGGGUCCCACGAUGGCCUGGCAAAGGUCUGUGGGUUUGUCAUUCUCCUCAUGUGAAUUACAAAACAAAGCAUGGCAUACUAAUUUUAUGGUAAUUUGCUCUUGCUGCCUCUGUACACAGUUGAAAACUGCAGCUACCAUAAGUACCUGUUGAAAAAUACAGACAUGCAUCUGGACAGAAUAGAAACAUAAUGUUGCAGAAUUACUGCAGAAGUGUCUCACUACUGAGCAAAUCCUUUAAAUGUUUUCCCUGCUCAGUCUGAGCACAAAAAUGAACGGUCUGUUGCUGUAAAGCAGGUCUCAUUGUCAGGCUGCAUAAACAACACUCACCACUUAUUUCCUAGGAAAUGAAAUGCAUGAGGUAUAAUGCACAGUGCUUUGGCUUCCUUUCAUUCGAGUGCUUGUAUGCAGAAAUGAUGGAAAAGGGCAAUGACAAAAUGUCAUCUUUAUCGCUGAAUUAAGUUCUCCAGGACACAGACUGCCCCUUAUUUUUACCACGGCAAGAUUCACUGUGAAGAAACACUGGCUUCUGUUUUAACAGAAAUAAAUCAGGGUAACCAUAUGCUGAAUGCCAGCAGUACUGCAACAAGCAUUUUGUAUCUGUACAUCUGGUGAGUGCUAAAGCUAUUUUUUCCUUGGCCUCUAAAUAGAGCAGCACAUGCGUGCAAACUCCUACAAGGCAGCUAGGAAUUAGCAGCGCUUGCUGUCCUGGGCUGUGAAAAGUGUUACAGCUGAAAAAGGCAAUUGUUCCUCUGUAGUGCUGCGGCAAGAAGGCUUGGCAGCUUGCUGGAGAUUGCAUAGGAAGACGCUAAUUGCUCAAUUUCAUCCUCUUUUGUUGGGUGUUUUCCCUCUCACAGAGUCUUCUUUUUCCUUCCUCAUCUCCUCCAGACAGAGGCCAGGCACUGCAUGCAUCCUGCCAGGGCCGUGGGGAGGAAGUGGCACGUGGCAGGCGGGCUCAGCUAACACUACUGUGGACCAUGAUAAAAUGUGGGCAUCUCCUUGGUCAGAGAGCACAAGGUAAUCCAGAUUGUCUUUGACGGGCUUUAAAGUGGGGCCCAGAGUCUUCCUCUGGUCAGCAAGGUCUCUGCUGGUCAGCAAUCAAAGAUAGGUGCAAUGAGGUGACAGUGCUUGUUGAAAGAGAAUAGCUGAAUUCUGCUCUUGUGUGUCCUUCCUGUAGUAGUGGGUACAGAAAAAGAGGAAACGUAAUGUAGGUAUCCUUGUCAGUGCUGCACUCAUUGGAUCUAAAUCUUGUGUGAGAAAUCAAGAGGUCCUUAACUGUUCGCCAGUGUGAUCAGAAACUGCUAUUGUGUGAAUAGUCAUGUCCUCUUCCUGGCUCCCAGCUCCUAGAGAAACAAGGUGUGCUUCGAGAGCAGACACAGCUGUACUGGAACCAUGCUUGCAAUUCAUACUAUUGUUCUUGGCCUAAAAAGCAAGUGAUACAUGAAGUAGUGCUUUCCAGAGGUAAAAGCAUAAAAAAUUUCCCUUUACUUUACAGAACCAAGUUGUGCUGAGUCAAUGUCAGGGAACAACACACUGUAAUUGGUUCCCUGACACCCUGCAUGAAAGAGAGCUCCUUGCUGGUAGACAAUAAAGAAAAAAAGGUGUAAAACUGAAGUGUAUUUUGGGCUUUAUGGGCUGCUUAGGAUUUACAGAAAUGAAUUCCACAGCAAAAAGGUUCUCUGGGUUCAGUUUCCCUGUAGUCGUAAAUGUGAGUAUAAGAAUCUGGAUGACUUUCUUGAUGAAAACUUCUUUGAAUGUCUUCUUGGUAUGGAGAAUACAUAUGAACGUGGGCUCUCGUGAUGCUACCCGCUACUCCCUUUGUUUUGUCCAGACAAUAAUAAAAGUAAGAAGAGCUCUUUUGUCUGUUAUUCAGUAAGUCUACCAGCUGCAAUCAGGGAAUGUGAGAUGUUGGAGUGCAAAGAGGGUUCUAAUUUUGUUUGCCUUUUUUUACAAAGAAGAUAUUUGAUAUUCCGCAGGAAGUUAUACUUGUUUCCCCAUUUGAAAUAAGGCUCUGGUUUGGUUUUUCAUCUUAAUUUAUGUGAUUGCCUUUGCUUACUCCAGAGACAUUUAACCAUAGUAGCAGUGAGAGUUGGCUAUUUCGACUGGUAGAGUAACAAAGCACCCAAAGCUGCACUUUGGACCUCUGUGCAACUUGCUGCAUGAGAACCACAAAGGACUUCACAAAUGGUAAAAAGUUGCACGUCACAGUAUCUGAGAGAGAAAAGCUAUUGUUUUCCACAUCUUACAGAACGCAGGAGCUGAAAUGAAUGGUUUUAUGAAUAUGUCCCCUUAAGAAUAAAUGUAUUUUUACAGAGCACCUCAGAACUUCAGCAGGAUGUUACAAUAUGAAGGUCUUUAGGUACUGAAGCUGAACAUGUAGUUUUUAGGUGUAAUAGAGCUUUAAUCUCAUAGAGGUGUGUUCUUCUGGCUUUAUUUGCACAAAGCGUUAGAAGAAUAUGUCUGAAACUGUGCAACUGGUGAGUAGAAGACCUUGAUAGGAAACCCAGAUCUUCUCUCUGAAUCUCUCUGCACCUUCAUUUGUACACAAUUUAUUUUGACCUUGCUGAUGAGCUUAACAGAGCACUUAAGCGGGGCUUGUGUUUUGAACUAAUCUGUCAGGUUAGACAGGAAAAGAUGUUUCUACAAGGCUGAGCUGUUAACACUGUGUUGUUUGCUUGAAUGGGGGCAUGCCCCUCAAAUCAGUGUUCCUCCCUUCUCAAAUGUUAAGAAAGGGUGAGAAAAAUGUAUGGGAAAAUGUGAAUAAGUUCUGAAAUAUUCUUUUCUCUUCACCACCACACCUCGCUCCAUCUAAUUUCCUUCUGGGCAAAUCUACCUGGCAACUUUUCAGCUGUCACUGCUAGCUUUGUUAAAGAUGCCACAAUGUGCCAAGAGUAUGAUUCUAAAAACAUCUUAGUUGGCCAGGGCUGACACUGCUGCCAGUGCUGGGGGUUCCUAACUCCUGAUAAAAGCUUCUGGUCUAUGGAACUGUGGACUUAGGGCCUGUCAUGAUAUUGGCAGUUUGGGCACAGUGGGAUGGGGCCAACAGAAGAGGAGAGGAUGGAUCACAUAGUGGCUGGUGCAGCAUGCGUAGUAAGCCCUAGGUAGUGGGGAGCAAGAGAUCCAAAAGAAAAGAAGGGAGAAGUAGAAGUAAAAUCCUCCACAGCACCCUGGAUGUUUUUGCAUGCCUCCAGAACAGUGUAUAUUCCAAAACAAAUAAAAUUGGACAUGGUGUCAAACUGAGCUGCUUGCAUUUCCAGCAUCUUAGGCAAAGUGCUUCCUCAGUGCGCGCUAAGGGCUACGUUCAAACUUGCAGCAUUCUGUGCUCAGCCUCCAUAUGUUGAAUAUUUUAUUUGAGAUUUGAUUUACUUAUUGAGGAAGUAGACUAGAAAAGCUCCCAGUGUGUUGCCUCUGGUUACUAAUUUAAAUUGAGAUUAGAGCAGGAGACUAUCCAACAGCAUUAGUUUGCUUUAAAACUUGCUGCAUCUGGCACUGUCUCCUGGCUGGUGCUAGCACUCUCUUAAAUUGAAGAGAAAAGCCUGAGAGACUUUCUACAUCUGGCACAGAAGUAAGCUUGCAGUUGGAUUUUCCUGUGUGGAUGUUGAAUUUGCGACGGGGUUAACAUUUCUAAAGUUAUAGAAAGGUAUCUUCUGUCCCCCUUUUUUCACAUGUGCUUGAAGUUCUUCCUCUCUGUAGCAGGUAUAUAUUUGUGUGUAUAUUUUCUGUGGGAUGACCUCUGAAGGACUCCUUGAAGUGGCACCAGUGACUGGGAGAUGCAGCCUGGACGUAUUUCUGUCACUCUCUAUCUUGAAGCACUGAGGACAAGGCUGUACAUUCCCAUUUAAAUUGAGGGCACUCUGGGAGAAGGUGGAAAGGAAACCAAACAACCUUGUGAGUGAUGGUAGAUUGCUGACACUGCCAUAGUGAUCAUCCCAGGUUUUAGGACUCUCAGAAGUUACCCUGUGAAAAAAGCCAUCCGAAGCUGGGAAACUUAGGACUGUCCUGUUAUUACCCAGGGAGCGCAAGAUGAGCUCCACUUACAAACAACAUUUGAGCACUGUGUCCACCAAAAGGUUAUUCUUCAGUCAAGUUGCCCAGAUCUGAAAUGUGUUGUUGAACUGAAAUCAGUAAGGGGUAAGGCCUUCUGAGAAGCCUGUAAGAAUUUCAUGCUGCAGUCUGAAAGGCAAACUGCAGUAAAAUAUCACUCUACCCAAGUGCACUAAGGGCUAUAUUAUUAACCAAAAAGAUGAAUUUUUAUUAGGGAAAAGUAAAGCCAUGAGGUAGUGAGAUAAAACAGAGCAGAAAGAAUAUAUAUAUAUAUAUAUUUUAUCAGAAGAAAGCAUCACAAAUCAGAAUGGGAAAAAAAAACAGUCAAUUCUUGGAAAUUUCAAGUUAUCACUGUGUGGAAAGCCACAGGCUUUUAAAUAUUAGGAGAAACUGCAAUAAUACCUGGUUUGAAAAUACAGGCAUCUGACACAUGAGUUGAAGAAAAGUGUCACAGCUUAGCAAUCUCAGCCAAACAGUUCCAUCUACAGGAAUGCAUAGGUUCAUUAACUCACAAGCUCGUUUAUUAAAGUAUAUUUCUUAGUUUUUAAGUGUCAGUUAAGUAAACCGUGUGACUGAACUUGUCAAUGGAAAAGAUGUUUUAGCCUCGCUAUUUCUCCUUUGCCAGUUGGAUGACCUUGAAUGUGUCUUCUGUUCAGGUUCCCUCGACUCAUUUUGGCAUUUGUGGCUUUCUGCUCCUAUAUGGAUGUCAGCUCAGCCUCAUAAAAAAAAAAAUCUCCAUUUAUAGAACCAAUGUGAAUUCCUUUUCAAGGACAAAUGUUUCUGAUAUGGGAUUCACAUCCUCCAUGACACAAAGCCUAUUUGGUAGCAGAUUUUCACACUCUUCAGUAUUGCAAGAGUCUAAAAGUUGUCUUCCUCUGGAUACCUUGGUAUUUUACUCUGUGUUGCUGUUUUUGUCUUCCUUUGCACCUGUUGAGAGGUCAGGCUUAUAUCUAAAAACUUGCAGGGGAGUAAGAGAUUCUGGUAAAGAUUUCUAAUAAUUCUUUGUUCGCUUAUUGCAUUUUCUUCCAAGAGUGGUUGGUGGAUGUUAUUGGAUUUUACUUUCCCAAGAACAUCUUAAUUUUCACAGCCUCUCUCUACCUUACAGGUACUUUGCCAUCUGAUGAAAAGACAAGAUGAUACACUUCCAGAUAAUCUUGGUAGAAUUUUCCUCUGAACAUUUUGAUGCCUCUACAGGAAUUGCUUUUCCCUGCUGUUUCUAUUUUUCAACUUAAUUUUUGAGGUUCUCAGCCAACAGGAUUCUUGUCAUCUUUUCUACUCGUAGCUUACCUUAAAAUGGUAGGUGGAUGUGCGAUUCUAAAGAAAUUCUGCAGUCAUUUUAAAAUACAUUUUCAAGCUUCAUGUGGUGAUCUCUCUGGGAAAUCAAAUAGUAAAAUAGAGGAACUGAAAGUAUAUGGUGGUUCCAGAGCAGUUUAAUGAUAAAACAUCUCACCUAGUCUAGACCAGGUACAUUUCAGUUAUUAAUUUCCUUUAUAAUCAGUAGGCCAUUUUAAGGACUGAUUAAUUCCAACUUUUUAUUUAUUUUUCAUUUAUUCAUUCAUUUGUUUAAUAUAUAGAAGGUAUUUUUUCCCCUCCAUUGCAUGGAAAGGGAAUCCAAACAGCUUCUUUAAGGACAGUUGACCAAAGUUAGGUGAGAUGAACUAUAUGUGCUACAUAGCGUUACAUCAUUUUUCUUUGAGAUAUAAGGAUUUUAAUGACAGGAGCUUGAAUGCUUUUGCUGGGUUUCUCCUACUGGGAAACAUGUGAUGAAUUUGCUUAGAAUACUCAAUGCUUUUUUUUCAUCCAUUCUCAGCAAAGCAGAUGUCAUGCAAGACUGUUCAUUUUGCUCUGAGAAUCCCACUCAUUCAUGUUCCUCUUGAUGCCUUUAAGUUUUAUCCUUUACAGAUAUUUCUUUCACAACAACAACAAAAGAGGUGAUAUAGCUUUCCCUGAAUGUAUUAACACCUUUGCAUCCAAAUAGGGAUCUCAUCACGUAUUCUUCAAAUUUUUGCCAACUUUUUUUUCUACAUUCUGAAAAACCAUUAGCUAGGGAAAAAUCUGUGUGUGCUGUUUCAUUACUUCUUUUACCAGCAGGGCUCUGGAUGCACAGUAUGGGCUGUGCUCCUUGGAUAUGUAAGAAUCACCAGUAGUAGACUGUCAUCUAAUCUCAGCAGGUGCUGGAGGAGGCAUGGGCUGGCAGUGAGUGUUAUAGGUAAGUUCCAGUAGCUUAUUCAUUGGUCAGCCCUGGCUUGCAGGCUCCUAGUACAGAUGAAAUAGACUUCAGGAGAAUCUGUGUCUCCUGAGCCUCUACAGUAGCUUGUUCUUCUGAUAGCACUUUUCCUUGUCCCAGUUUCACUUUUUACCCAUCUUCACAUCCUUGAUCACUUCUUCCCAGUCUCUCUCAGGAUCCAGCAGUUCUGUUGUCUUGGAUAAGCGGGAAUAUGUGGAAUAGAUCCUUACCACAGGAUAUAAGGGAUAGAUGGGAUAUAAGGCUGCAUUUGAAUUAUACCUUAAAAAUGAAAAAUGGCAGCCUCAUCAGUUUGUUUGCUGUGGCAUUCAAACUGAAGCUGCAGCUUCCAUUUCAUGUUGAUAGGAAACUGUUGGAGGGGGAGAAAUUCUGUGCUAAUAGGAGAAAUUCCUGUCAGUCACGCCAGAGCAUUAGGAAACAUUAUGAGAUCUUGAUGAAAUCUGCCAAAAAGUAUAUGCUAUCAUAUUCUAAAUACUCAGCUAUCUUUAGUAGUGCAUUCCAGAGAUUUUUAAAUGCUGGCUUCAUUAGAAAACAAAAACAUAUGAAUAGAUAUUUUCAGUGCAGUCACAUUUCCUAGCAGAAAGAGUUGUCACAAAACAUUCAUUCCGCUUUUGUGCAUUUUUUGUAUUAAAACACUAAUGAAUUUGUAUGCUAAAACAAGCCUUCCUUAAUUAUGUAUGAUUUGUAUUCAUUAGACCCCAGAGGGAAGGGGGAAGACCAUGUGACCAGUUAUCUUGUUACCAUGCGUAAAAUGAUAACGACAUUAGCAAUGGCCAGGCACCAAAUUGGAAGCAAGAUUAUUGUAACUCAAGGGAGAGAAUAUUGCUGGAGUGUUUUGGUGCCUAGUGCCUUUCUCUGAACUUUGCAGGCAGAACAACUGCAGUGAGCAUGACAGCCUCCAAGCCAUCUCCAAACUAGGGCUAUUAUAGGAAUAUCACAUCUGUGCUUGUACUGCUUCACAGCUGAGGAAAUGGCUCUGGAGCAGGUGGGCUGUUUCAAUUAUGCAGUGGCUAGGAAGGACCCAGGGAGUGCUGCAGGAGCUGGUUUUGGUCAAUGAGGACUGCGCUGGUACAAAUUUCAGAACAUCCAGAUCAUUUCAAAAACGUGAAGGUUUAGAAUACACUACAUUUCUGGUCAUCUUGUGGCAAAGUGAUGCAGUGCUGCAAGAACCAGAAGCUGUUGGAUAGCUUCUCAAAGUCACCUAAGGUGUUUUUACAGAUGUGCCAUUGCUGAUAGUUAUUUAAUCCUUCAGCAGUUGAGAACGCACUGAAAUGUUUGGACAGGCUAUACACCUCAAGAGUGGCUGGAGCUAAGUUAGGUUUUAGAUUACUUUAGGUGUCGAUCAAGUUAUUACUUGACAGUAAUGGGGCCACAUGCUUUUUACAUUCUCACUGUACUACCAUAUUCAUCCCAGACUUUCAAGCAUAGUUUGGGCCUAUAAGCAUAUCAGCACAAUAGCAUGUGAGAUUUAUCCUAGAACCAUAACAACACAGAAUAUUGUGAGUUGGAAUGGACCCACAAGAAUCAUUGAGCCCAACUCCUGGCUCCACACAGGGCCACUCAAAAUCCAAAUGUCACUCAAAACCCUAUGUCUAAGAGCAUUGUCCAAAAUGCACCUUGAACUCUGGCACUUGGGCUGUGCCCACUGCCCUGGGCAGCCCGUUCCAUGCCCACCACCCUGUGGUGCAGACCCUGUCCCUAACCCCCAGCUGCCCCUCCCCUGACACAGCUCCAUGCCGUUCCCUCGGGCCCUGUCGCUGUCACACAGAGCACAGCUCAGUGCUGUCCCUCCGCUCCCUGUGAGGAGCUGCAGCCGCCAUCAGGCCUCCCUCAGCUCCUCUGCUCUGGGCCCAGCACACCAAGGGGCCUCAGCCAUUCUACAUACAUCUUUCCCCCCAGGCCUUUCCCAGACCUCUUAUCUUCCCAAGUAAAUAAAUAAUGCUAAAAUAUAUAUAUUAAAAAAAAAAAAAGCGAAGCCUGACAAAAUACAAACUCUGAUAAUUCAUAUUUUUUUCCUAUUGCUACUGUGCAAGAGCAGGGGAGGCAUUUGUAUUUGUUGAAGUGAGAUUCAGAAUACCUAUAAUGGGAACACCUUCUCUUUUAGGCUCUUGUACGUCCAAAGCAGCAAAAGUAGUUAUCCAGUUUUCUAUCAUUCAAAUUAAGACUUAGUGCUCUCCUGUCCAUCCUGUCUGCAGCUGUCAGUCUAGUGUGCAGUGUAAGCUUGCCAAGAAUUUUCAAUUGGGACCUGUCAGUUAAGAUCAUAGCAAAGUCUUGUGAUUGUCAGUCUCCUUUGGAACAAAACGCUAUCUGUUAGUAUCGUCUUGCUUUUCUCUCAAGGCUUUGAAAUCACUGGAAUAUAGAUGUCACUGUUCUGGGCCGUAUACGUGUGCUGAGAGAGCAGUACGUUCUGCUUCCCUCUCCUGGGCUGGCUAAGCUCUCUUAACAAAUGCACAUUCCAGGGAAAUGUGGUUCAAAUUAUCAUAACAAGCCUUUUAAUGCACCAAAGGCAAAUUGUGUCUAUUUUUAUUAUGGACAAUUUUUUCUGUUAUGAUAAAAGGAGUAUUAAUCAUAGUUAUAAAGGGAAUAUCAUAUGACAUCUGUGUAGUCCUCUCUUUAUAAUAGCCGAAAAAACAUAUCUCAUGAAAAUACAGUGAACCUCUUCACAGUAUUUAAAAUAUUUGAUGUAUUCAUGAUAUUGUCAGUAAUCUCCUAUGACUUCAAAACUGUACAGAGACAUUGUAGUCUGUUUUUUUUUUGUUUUUGUUUUUAUUUUCCCCCCAAAUGUUCCAUUGUCCUGCAUAUUUUGGCCUUUUUUUCUUUUUUUUCUUUUUUUUUUUUUAAGAGAAGAAUUCUAUUUAUUUCCUGUAAUUUUUUAUAUCACUUGCUAAGCUAGGAAAUACAAUAAAUGAGUAGUUUUGUACCACUUUUUUUUCUGCCUAAUUAUCCUAUGGAGCUGGGGAAUGUAUUUUAUACCAUUGCUUUUUCAUUCUGUUCUUCUAUAUAAAUACUGCUCUUUUGGGAUUUCUGACAUUUUUUUCCUACUUGUUCCUGAUGACUUUGGGAUAGAGCUGUCUGUCACUUAUAGGCUGAAGAGCUCAGGUCAUGAACAAGAUCCUUUGAUCUUUCUUCCAGGCAGAGGUAAGGCAGGCACUCCUUUGGAAAGCAGGACAUGACUCUGCAGGCAUACAAAGUGGUUAUGAUAAGCUGGAGGGUACUGAUAGAGUAAUAUCACCACUAAUGCUAUCAGGGGUGAGGGGCAUUUAUCUUUUAAUGAAACCAAUUAUCUAUUCAUUAGCUUUUUAUGCAUUUAUUAUCCAUUCUUUGGCCUUUCUGUUUGGUGUUAGGAACACUUUCAUUCUCCUUUGAACUUUCCAAAUGUAUAUCCUUGACUUGCUGCAUGCUGCAUGUGACUAGGAUUUACCUUUGGAAGCCAGGUAUGUGGAGGGUCAGAAAGAAUGUUGGAAAUUCUGGUAAUACCAGCAUGGUGGCCUAGGAAGAUUUCUUCUUCUGAGAGCCUGAACUGUCUUAAAAUUGUACCUUGGUACGUUUUGCUUUGCAUUAAAAGAUGCAAAGGUGUUAAGAUACAAUGCUUAAAGACUUGUGUUUAUUAUUAUUAUUAACUUUACUUAGUCUGUAAUGAGUACAAGAUUUCCCUGAUAGUUCCAGCAUGGCUCAGCAAGACCAAUAUGUUCAGGUGCUUUAGAGACCUAGAAAGCAUUUAUCAUGCUCAAUACUUGCCUUUAGACUUGAUUUAUUACCAUACAACAUGCAAUAAGCUAGUGCUGCCUGGAAACCCUCUGUAAAACAGAAGUUUUCACUUCUGAAAAUUCUUUGAGUUAGUUCCUUCAGCUGGGUGAUACCUACCCAAAGUAACUCCCUUCCUCAGGACAAGUGCCACCCCCACCUCUGUUUUGCUUACAGAUAAGUCUUUUUCCACAUAGGGAAGUUUCUGUGGUGUGCUGGUUUUGCAGUUCUAAUGAAGAACUAUGCUGCAUUCAGCCAGGGUUACAGUCUCCAGUUACAGCUUUUUCUCCACUUAGGUGAAUGUUUUGGAGGAGAACAUGGAGUUGGUUUUAUUAUCUUUGUGGCUGUGUGUGCAUAUGUGUCUGUACAAAUGAACCUAACCUUGUGUGCUCAUUUUAGCAUCUGUUAUUUUCAGUCUUUGCUUUCAGAUAUAAACACUUAACACGUUCAGUCUUGGUUUUGGGAAAACAUUUGUGAAGGUACUUUCAAGCCUGUGGCAAAAAAAUUGACUCCUUGAGGACAGAUGGGUUCCAGCAGUUCAGCUAACAUAUCACUAUGGUGAAAUGUGUCCCAAGGAUUACUCGUGGCCUUCAGCAGGCUGAAUUUAUUUACUCCCUGUGCUGUUGACAUGGCCCAUGGGCCAAUUUCCCAAAAAGAAAGAUACUAGUUAAAAAAUAUACUGACCCGCUCUACCACUUGCCUUUACUGUGAUUGUACCUACAUCUCCCAGCUUUUGGCUGAGUUCAGCAUGGCCUUAAUUGGCUCUUCCUGCAGUGGUCUUUCUUCCUGUUUUAUGGCAGUGUUUGUUGAGAGAGGAUGCAACCUUCCCAGUGGGCCAAUGUUGAACAUCACCUGCUGUGGGCUCUGCCCCUGGUCAGGCUGCAGAUUGGAGUCCUGUUCCAGUGCUUCACAUAUUCAAACUUACCUCAUAUCAUUAAUCAAUUUGACUGCCUUAAAAGGCUAAAAAUAGGCAGAUGACCCUAUACUAAAAAAAUGUGAACGCUGAACUUUCCAAUAAUCUUUUGUCCAGCUGGUCAAAUCCUCAUUUAACCAUACAGACAGUAAAACUUCAGGUAAAAAAAAUAUCUGAAGCUGUUAAAAAUAAACAGCGGAGCUAUGUUUUGCCAGCUAUCUUGUUGUCUAUUUUUGAGAUGUCUCUGUGGGCAAGGAUUUCAUUACACUGAGCUCAAAUUAAAUUUGGUGAAAAAUUCAAGAGUACAGCUAUAAGUCAGCUUCUUUUCAGGAUAGGGACUGCUAUCUUUGCCCAGGCACGUGGAUGCUACAGCAAAGGAUAAAGUUUAACCCAGAUAUUCCUGCAGCUGCUGAUACCUCAGAAGGAAGUGCUGGCAAUGGCGAGACUAGAAGCUGCUGUGAGUAUCCUCAUCCUCAGGGCAGCAAACUGUGUUGCUUCCUACCCUCCUCUAAGUCCUUGAGCCAGUCGUGUCCCUCCUGUCCAUCCUCAGGGGAUGAGGUGAGAGCAGAAGCUCUCCUUCCUGAUUUUUCUCCCUUUCUUGGAGGGAACUCUGAAGUAAAAUUGACGUAUUGGCCCCACAGACUUGUGGGGACUGAAUGGAAGGGGAUGAGUGGUGAGUGGACCCUGUGCUGAGCUGCAGCUGGUGAUUGUCUCCAGCAGAAAGAAAGGGACCUGCAUCAAGAGGUCGUUAAGCUAGAGAAGGAGAAAUCAAAAUAAAAGGUACGUACUUCUGAUGUAGCAUCACCUGCUUGGAGAUUUCUGUAACAGGGAUGCAACUCCUGAUACCACGUGAGAGGGGGCAGAUAGAUAAAACAUUCAGAAAUAAUUGCACUACAUUUCAUUUGCUGUUAUUCAAAUCAUGUUGCCUUAGCCCUUGUGUUCAGUUAUCUGAUGGCUGCCGAACAAAAUGCAGAGCAGUAGGUAAAAAAUGCAGGCCCAGCUCUGGGAGUAACUUAGCACCUCAGGUUUAUCAGUUGUGGACUUAUCCCUGGGAGGAAAGCGGAUCACCCCUUCACCAGGGUUAGCAGGAGCUGCCAAGGAGCUGCCCCUGACCAGCCCAGCAGGGUCUCCUGUGCAUGCACCAGGCCUGCUCUACAUGGGAGCCGCAGCAGGGCCCAGUCCGCUUCCAGCCCUGUUGGAGGCCGGAAGGACAAGCAGAGUGAGUCCUGGUGCUGCCUCCUGACUGCUAGGAGACACAUCACAGUUGUAGGCCACCCAGGUCUGCUCGCUGCUCUGCCUAGUGGCCAGCCUCAGUUCUCUGUGGGCACAGCUUGGGAUGGCAUCGUCUCUGAUACUGCAGAAGAUGAUCUGGCUUUCAGAGAGAGCAAGGACAGUGACAACACCCAAAUCUGAACCCUGGUUGUUUUUUUCAGCCAGUGCUACCACCUGUUUUAUAGCUGAUUGGUUAUGGUGCAGGGUAGGACUUGUGGGGAUUUAUUUCCUCAGCUGUAAGUCUCCCAGACCCUUCUCAGUAGUGGCACUGCUGGCAGUGAGCUUGUCUCUCCUCCUUGCCACUAAUAUCAUUGUUUCAGUAGCAUUGCUUUAUUGCUUAUUAGCCAGAGCUGAAGGCAAGCACCAUUUUAAUACAUAGAAAAAAAUCAAAAUCUUAAUUAAAAAAGAACCUUGUGGUAAAAUCCUGUCCCAGCUGUAAACAGUGGGAGGUUAAACCAUUGACUUCAAAGCAGCUGGGAUUAUACCUGUUAUCCAAUACAACAUCAGCUCCCUUCUGCUCUUCCUUCGCACAGACAGCAUUCAUCCAGGCUCACUCCUCACGUGCCCACGCUCACUGUGAUAAUGUAAGCCUCGACCAGCUGAAUUUUCAUCAUGUGAAGUGUGGGCAGCUCAUGGCCAAACUGUCUCAGCCCAUGAUUCCAUGCAAGGCCAAAGAAGAAUGGUACCUGAUGACUGUCUGGCUGCUGGUGCUUGGUCACACAGAAAUGCAGUAUUCUGAUGGAAGACCGUAUACUUCUCAUUUGAGAAACAACUGCCAGGGAAAGAAAGUACCUCUGAUGCAGCUGCAGUUGUGUCAUGGCAGCAUUCUUCCCUGUCACUCUAGUGCUGGCAGCCCCCACACCACCUCAGAUCCUCCUUUGGAGCCAUCCUAGCCCAGAUCCCUCCACUUCCUCAGUGAGCAGAAUCUGGCCAUUCCCAGUCCAAGACAACUUCUUGCAGACAGGCUCCCGCUCUGCCAGGCCUCUGUUCUUGCAGGUGCAGAUCUGGCUUUUCACUGAAGAUCCCCCACCUUCCAAAAAGGGAAGCAAGAAGAAAAUAGAAUCUGCGAUGCUCUCAUUCUGGUCUCUCUCUCCCCGCAGUGGGCUGUGCUACUGUGCACUGCACAGUCUGCCUGGCCGAGAGCAGCUGUGGCUGUCAUCUGCUAGCGUGGUGUCCAAAUUAAGACUGAUUGCAUUUCCAUCUACCCAGUUAUCUGCUGUCAGCCUCAAAUGUGGCGAGCAAUUGGCGAAGUUUUGGCCUGGAAUUAGCUGGUUUAACCUUGAAUAAAGUGAGUAAAUAUAUAAAAUAGCAACUGGAGUUUGGUGAUGACCAAAUAACAUCUGCAAAACCGCUUCAUCUUCCAGCUGGCACUUCUCAAGGGGCAGCAACACAAUUGAAAUUGAUGGGAGGCUGGCAGUACAUUAGCUUCGUGGGCUGAAUUCUGGCAGAGGACCCAAAUACCUGCACAGUGUAUGUGAAGAAAGACUGAGAGCAACCACACUGCUGACCAUUGGCAUGGAGCUAAUGCUCCACAGAGCAGAGAUGGAACCAGUGCGAGAUGUAACCAGUGUGCCUCCUUCCUACCUCCUUCCCCUUUAAGAGCCAUAUCAGCGUAUGAUUUUCACCACUGGCAGUGUGCAGCAUGGUGUACAUUACAGAAAACUUUGCAUCCUGUUCCAGCAGACCUUAUUAGCACUCCACAGAGGACUCUUUGACAUAUUACGGACAGCACCGGAAAACAUUGGUCUUUAAUAAAUAAUGUACAAACACAUGGACACACUUCUUGAGCAGCAAGAGGUCAAACAAGAUAUUACAGUGAUAUCCCAUGGUGCGAAAUAGAUAUGUGGAAAUAAUGACUGUUGUCAUCAACAAGCACUCUGUAUGCAGGAACGUGGCAGAGGAAAAACCCUUCAGUUCCCAGCUCCAUGAGUGGAGAAGGCAGAAGAAGGCGUACUCAGUCAACAGCGCUGUUUGCAGACCCUAUUGCUUCCACUACCACACCUGAAGACCUAGGAUCCUGAGUCUGAAAUGAAGCCCUCUUCUGUAGAUGUGUAGCCCCUCAGGUUUGAGUUGUUAGAGUCAAGCCCUCAGAUGAUGGAAGCUCACAAGACUUUGGUCUCCUCUGGCCAGCAGGCAUGACUUGCUUUACCCUCAGAUUUUUUGCUGAUCCCAGUAUGUCAGCCCUGUUUGUCAGUGACCGUAAAAAGAAUCAAGAACAUUAAACAUUAGGCAAUGCUCA